AGAGGCAGGAACUGAAGCAGAGGCCGCAGGCUGCUUAUUGGGCUGCUCGCCAUCCUCAGCCUGCUUCCUACACAUCGCAGGAACUACUCCCAUCAGUACUCCCACAUUAAUCAUAGGCGACUGCCGAUACUGCUGGUUCCCUUCUACAACCUGAAGGUAAGUCACGGAAGAUACCACUUACACCACUGAACAUGAGAGCUCAAGUUGGUGCCCGACUAGAAGCUUUACCCCUCCAGACUCGCACUCACAGCACUGGAAGAUGAUUGCUCUCCGAGAUGAUAGAGGAAAAGAGCAUCUCCCCAAGCUAUAAACAGUAACUCGCCUGCGAGACAGACUGGUGCAAUAGCAGCAUCAAUGUUAUGAUUGGAAACACCUAUUUUACUAAAUAACCCUCCAUGGAACCCACGGACAAUGAAACUACAUACAAAGCUCACCUUGUCAGAGGCCUCAGAAGCCAAAAGGUUGACUGCUGGAUGACUAAGAGAGUCUACAGCGGCAGGAACGGCUUCGUCACAAGCGUUCAGUAUCUCCACUGCUGUGAUUCCCAUUGCACAACGAUCCAGCGCACCUGGAAAGCAGCACCUCCACGUGGGUUACACAAUACUAGCAACUUGUAAUUUCAUUGUUUAGGUACAGAAAAAAAAUGGUAUAGCAUAUUUGGAGGAAUGUCUUAUUAGUAUUUACCCACAAAUAUCCCCUUGUACUUCCUCCAUAAACUAAUCUUCCAUGUAGAUCCCACAAUUAUUCCUCUCCCCCAAGUCUUCACAAACCUUCCCAGUAAACUCUAAUGAAGGCUUUAAAAACCUC
Molecule: long non-coding RNA, 807 nt
Filed under: Mus musculus (house mouse)
Lineage: Eukaryota; Metazoa; Chordata; Mammalia; Rodentia; Muridae
Description: predicted gene, 50106
Source: RNAcentral